This 131-nucleotide small nucleolar RNA is filed under the name Melopsittacus undulatus (budgerigar). RNAcentral's name for it is "Small nucleolar RNA SNORA47 (ENSMUNG00000021324.1)". It matches the Rfam family "Small nucleolar RNA SNORA47". Lineage: Eukaryota; Metazoa; Chordata; Aves; Psittaciformes; Psittaculidae. The record is from RNAcentral.
UGGAGGACUGAGAAGGUAAGACAGUUUAGACUUCACACUGUACUUUACUGGUUAUAGCCUCCAACAUUAUAAUAGUGGCAAUGGCAACUCAUGUUCCCCUCCUGACAUGAGGGAAGGCAGUACUGCAUUUG